This 427-nucleotide ribosomal RNA is filed under the name uncultured Clostridia bacterium. RNAcentral describes it as "partial 16S ribosomal RNA". It matches the Rfam family "Bacterial small subunit ribosomal RNA", at positions 355 to 774 of the family's 1533-position model. Lineage: Bacteria; Bacillati; Bacillota; Clostridia. The record is from RNAcentral.
UGGGGAAUCUUCCGCAAUGGGCGAAAGCCUGACGGAGCAACGCCGCGUGAAUGAAGAAGGCCUUCGGGUCGUAAAGUUCUGUCUUUAGGGAAGAAGUUUUUACUGCAAAUAGUGGUAAAAGUUGACGGUACCUAAGGAGGAAGCUCCGGCUAACUACGUGCCAGCAGCCGCGGUAAUACGUAGGGAGCAAGCGUUGUCCGGAAUUACUGGGCGUAAAGGGCGCGUAGGCGGGUAUUUAAGUCAGGUGUGAAAACUCUAAGCUCAACUUGGAGACUGCACUUGAAACUGGGUAUCUUGAGGGCAGGAGAGGAAAGUGGAAUUCCUAGUGUAGCGGUGAAAUGCGUAGAUAUUAGGAGGAACACCAGUGGCGAAGGCGACUUUCUGGACUGUACCUGACGCUGAGGCGCGAAAGCGUGGGGAGCAAACG